UGAUGACAAUAGUACUUACCUCAUAGA
Molecule: non-coding RNA, 27 nt
Filed under: Homo sapiens (human)
Lineage: Eukaryota; Metazoa; Chordata; Mammalia; Primates; Hominidae
Source: RNAcentral